RNAcentral lists this ribosomal RNA (431 nucleotides) under uncultured bacterium. RNAcentral's name for it is "bacterial SSU rRNA". It matches the Rfam family "Bacterial small subunit ribosomal RNA", at positions 97 to 524 of the family's 1533-position model. The record is from RNAcentral.
GGCGGACGGGUGAGUAAUGUCUGGGAAACUGCCUGAUGGAGGGGGAUAACUACUGGAAACGGUAGCUAAUACCGCAUAAUGUCGCAAGACCAAAGAGGGGGACCUUCGGGCCUCUUGCCAUCAGAUGUGCCCAGAUGGGAUUAGCUAGUAGGUGGGGUAACGGCUCACCUAGGCGACGAUCCCUAGCUGGUCUGAGAGGAUGACCAGCCACACUGGAACUGAGACACGGUCCAGACUCCUACGGGAGGCAGCAGUGGGGAAUAUUGCACAAUGGGCGCAAGCCUGAUGCAGCCAUGCCGCGUGUAUGAAGAAGGCCUUCGGGUUGUAAAGUACUUUCAGCGAGGAGGAAGGCGAUAAGGUUAAUAACCUUGUCGAUUGACGUUACUCGCAGAAGAAGCACCGGCUAACUCCGUGCCAGCAGCCGCGGUAAU